GGUAAGGUGUCCGAGUGGUUAUGGAGCUGCGUUUAGGUUUUUCACCUGAGCAGAGAUCCGCAGUGGCGUUGCCUCGAGGGUUCGAAUCCCUCCCUUAUCA
This 100-nucleotide transfer RNA is filed under the name Hortaea werneckii. RNAcentral describes it as "tRNA-Leu". It matches the Rfam family "tRNA". From Rfam's summary of the family: Transfer RNA (tRNA) molecules are approximately 80 nucleotides in length. The record is from RNAcentral. Lineage: Eukaryota; Fungi; Ascomycota; Dothideomycetes; Mycosphaerellales; Teratosphaeriaceae.